GUGAACCUGCGGAGGAUCAUUG
Molecule: ribosomal RNA, 22 nt
Filed under: Fagus grandifolia (American beech)
Lineage: Eukaryota; Viridiplantae; Streptophyta; Magnoliopsida; Fagales; Fagaceae
Also listed under: 1 other name
Description: partial 18S ribosomal RNA
Source: RNAcentral